Molecule: long non-coding RNA, 696 nt
Organism: Gadus morhua (Atlantic cod)
Lineage: Eukaryota; Metazoa; Chordata; Actinopteri; Gadiformes; Gadidae
Exons: 8
Source: RefSeq, a predicted model, not a curated record
CCAGUACUUAAAGGAACUGGCCCACGUUGUCUCCUUCUCUAUCAUAUCAAGUCCUCUGGUGAGGUUGGAUGGGCAUAGAGAUGGUGUCUGGGAAACCAAAACAUUCCCCUCUACUUCAUUUAUGCAUAAUGUGGGCAGUCUUGAAUUUAAAUCCAAGUGUGUUGGUUUUUGCGUAAUAUUUAGCUUAAGGUGGCAUUGUUAACUAUGAUCAGCGUGUAGGUACAACGAAGGCCUAUGAAGCACGCGGUGAGCUUCGAGUCUUAAAGGUGGGAAAGCUGGCCGUACUACAGACAUGGGUCUGCAGACUGGUGCAGUGAUGGGUGGGAAAGGCGGCCGUGCUACAGACAUGGUUCGGCAGACUGGUGCAGUGAUGGGUGGGAAAGGCGUCCGUACUACAGACAUGGGUCUGCAGACUGGUGCAGUGAUGGGUGGGAAAGGCGGCCGUACUACAGAAAUGGUUCUGCAGACUGGCAGUGAUGGGUUGGAGAAGCAGCCGCGUUUCAAAAAAUGGUUCUGCAGACUGCUGGAGUGAUCGAUGGACGUGUUGCACUCUGACCUGGUGACAUGCUAGUGAUGCUGGAGGUUCUUCAUGGUGGAAAAGGUUCUGCCAUAUGGACAGGGCCGACGGACUGCGGGGGAAAGGUAGACAGUUGUGGGGGGGCCCCAAGGCAGAGGGGAAGCCCAUAGCAAUAAAAA